Molecule: long non-coding RNA, 371 nt
Organism: Gasterosteus aculeatus aculeatus (three-spined stickleback)
Lineage: Eukaryota; Metazoa; Chordata; Actinopteri; Perciformes; Gasterosteidae
Source: Ensembl
AUCUAACAUGAAGCAACAAAAAACUAGCAACGCGACUUGUUUUGAUGACUUGUGAUCACAUGAAAAGUCUGGAUGUGAUUCUGUAUUCGGGACACGUAGAUUCAAACCAUGAAGAUACUUGACCAUAAUCGGUUGGAGGUGUGAAUUUUGCCUUUAGCCCAAAGCAAGCCGGCUGAAGACGGCGGCAGAUACUGACCAGUCAGAGGUGGGAGUCGGCUGGAAGCGCUCCAGAGGACGGCCCGGAGCUCCCAGACUGUGCGUGGGUGAUGAGUCGCCGUGACGUCGCUCGAAGGUCUGUGGACGGAUGUUUGACGAUUUUAGACGUGGCCGUCUUGGAUUGAGGCCGUCGCCUCCACAAGUGCACUAUGAAC